CCUCAUUCGUAUUUCGUUCAUCGUAAGAUUCAGAUGUACUAGAAAAAAAGUAAACCAAAAAAUUCUAAAAUUUGUAUCAACAAAAUUUUGAGUUAGAAUAUUUUGUAUAAUUUUUUUGGAAUACAACACGAAUUUUCCACAUAUUCAAAAUGAAUUUUUGCUCAGUGCCCUACGAAGCUGAUUACGGCAUGUACGCGGACUCUAAGAUGAAAAGCGUGCCUCAAUAUCCGCUGAGCAUGAGUCCUGGGCAGGGUCAAGGACAGUCGAUGGCCAUGCAGCCGCUGAACCCACCGCAGAUGAAUCUGCAGAUGCAGAUGCCCAUGUCGGGUGCCUCCCAGAUGACCUCCUACCCCAUGCAGGGUAUGCCUCUGGGCAUGAUGCCCGCUGGAAACCAGAUGACUCCCAUGUCCACGAUGACCACCCAGCUGCCCAUUGGAGCCGUUACGCCCCUGAGCAGCAUGACCAUGAUGCCCAUGAUGGGUAACCCUAUGGGGGCCAUCGACGCCCCCGGGAUCAAUGCAGUGCUGCCCGACCUGCAGCCCAUGACCUCGAUGGGACAGAUGGGUCAGCCGAUGCAGCAGUACGGUCAGUCUGGCUCCACCACCCAAAUGCAUCAAGGUCGCCUGACUGGCGGAGGUAAUGGUGCUGGUAUGGCUGCAUCCUGUCCCUCGUCACCCUCGCAUUCUGGUAACUGGAGCUCCAAUCCCAACUCCGGUCAGAUGAUGACCAACGGCAACAUGUGGCAGUACAGCCAACCCAUCCAGAGCCCCCAGUAUCCCCAACAGCACCAUUACCAACAGCAGCAGAAUCACCACCAGCAACCGCAGCAGGUCAGCCGAAUGAAGCCCUCCUACGACAUGGCACCCUCUGGCAUGUACCGGGAACUGCGAAAUGGACUGAACAAUCCCUUUUAAUUCCUGACCCGCAGCACACCAUCCAUGCACGAAAAUCCCAAGUACGGCAAGGGCAAUCAGUCAUUCAAUUGUGGAAAAUCGGUUAGCAAGGUCCCCCAUUGGCGUUGACGAAACCAUUGAGCCCAUCAUUAGUUGGUUGUUCGUGCUUUUUCAUGAUUGGUGUCUCUCAAAUUACUUUCGCCUAUACGUACUUUGUUUCACGACUUCCCCUACGCAAGCAUACAACCCAACAGACACUGAAACACACAAGAACACUAAUCAUGGUCGCAAACAUAUUGGUGUGGAAUAAAAGGCUUAAAUGUUCUGGCCAAAAAGGAA
Drosophila biarmipes is the source of this 1232-nucleotide RNA transcript. It is a transcript of the gene named protein cbp-1, with no coding region annotated. The transcript has 4 exons. NCBI's taxonomy places the organism in Eukaryota, Metazoa, Arthropoda, Insecta, Diptera, Drosophilidae. The record is from RefSeq and is a predicted model, not a curated record.